UACAAUGCAGUUAAUCAUCCCCACUUUCCUCUAUGGAUAUGAAAUGUGGGUGACCUACUGUCAUCAUCUCAAGAGACUGGAGAGUUAAGACUAGUGAUGCCUUCAGAAAAUCACCUACAUCAAAUGGAAAGAUUGCUGCACAAACACCAGCAUCCUUGCGGAAAACAAUGGUACCA
Molecule: long non-coding RNA, 176 nt
Organism: Gavialis gangeticus (Gharial)
Lineage: Eukaryota; Metazoa; Chordata; Crocodylia; Gavialidae
Exons: 3
Source: RefSeq, a predicted model, not a curated record